This 465-nucleotide ribosomal RNA is filed under the name uncultured bacterium. RNAcentral describes it as "partial 16S ribosomal RNA". It matches the Rfam family "Bacterial small subunit ribosomal RNA", at positions 28 to 507 of the family's 1533-position model. The record is from RNAcentral.
GACGAACGCUGGCGGCGUGCUUAACACAUGCAAGUCGAACGGAAAGGCCCUGCUGGCUGCGUACUCGAAUGUCAAACGCGUGAGUAACACGUGGGUGAUCUGCCCUUCCCUUCGGGAUAAGCCUGGGAGACUGGGUCUAAUACCGGAUAGGAGUCAGUUCUAGUGUGAGGGUUGGAAAGAUAUUUCGGUGUAGGAUGAGCUGGAGGCCUAUCAGCUUGUUGGGGGGGUAAUGGCCUACCAAGGCGGCGGCGGGUAGGCGGCCUGAGAGCGUGGACAGGCACAAUAGGACUGCGGUACGCACCAGAGUGCAACGGGAGGCGAUAGUGGGGAGUAUGGCGCAAUGAGGGCAAGCCUGAUGUAGCGGCGCCGGGGGUGGGAUGACCGGCUUAGGGUGGUGAACUCCUUUCGCGCGGGACGAAGCAUUUUGUGACGGUACCUAGAGAAGAAGCACCGGCUAACUACGUG